GCCUGAUGGAGGGGGAUAACUACUGGAAACGGUAGCUAAUACCGCAUAAUGUCGCAAGACCAAAGAGGGGGACCUUCGGGCCUCUUGCCAUCGGAUGUGCCCAGAUGGGAUUAGCUUGUUGGUGGGGUAACGGCUCACCAAGGCGACGAUCCCUAGCUGGUCUGAGAGGAUGACCAGCCACACUGGAACUGAGACACGGUCCAGACUCCUACGGGAGGCAGCAGUGGGGAAUAUUGCACAAUGGGCGCAAGCCUGAUGCAGCCAUGCCGCGUGUAUGAAGAAGGCCUUCGGGUUGUAAAGUACUUUCAGCGGGGAGGAAGGGAGUAAAGUUAAUACCUUUGCUCAUUGACGUUACCCGCAGAAGAAGCACCGGCUAACUCCGUGCCAGCAGCCGCGGUAAUACGGAGGGUGCAAGCGUUAAUCGGAAUUACUGGGCGUAAAGCGCACGCAGGCGGUUUGUUAAGUCAGAUGUGAAAUCCCCGGGCUCAACCUGGGAACUGCAUCUGAUACUGGCAAGCUUGAGUCUCGUAGAGGGGGGUAGAAUUCCAGGUGUAGCGGUGAAAUGCGUAGAGAUCUGGAGGAAUACCGGUGGCGAAGGCGGCCCCCUGGACGAAGACUGACGCUCAGGUGCGAAAGCGUGGGGAGCAAACAGGAUUAGAUACCCUGGUAGUCCACGCCGUAAACGAUGUCGACUUGGAGGUUGUGCCCUUGAGGCGUGGCUUCCGGAGCUAACGCGUUAAGUCGACCGCCUGGGGAGUACGGCCGCAAGGUUAAAACUCAAAUGAAUUGACGGGGGCCCGCACAAGCGGUGGAGCAUGUGGUUUAAUUCGAUGCAACGCGAAGAACCUUACCUGGUCUUGACAUCCACGGAAGUUUUCAGAGAUGGAUUGUGCCUUCGGGAACUGUGAGACAGGUGCUGCAUGGCUGUCGUCAGCUCGUGUUGUGAAAUGUUGGGUUAAGUCCCGCAACGAGCGCAACCCUUAUCCUUUGUUGCCAGCGGUCCGGCCGGGAACUCAAAGGAGACUGCCAGUGAUAAACUGGAGGAAGGUGGGGAUGACGUCAAGUCAUCAUGGCCCUUACGACCAGGGCUACACACGUGCUACAAUGGCGCAUACAAAGAGAAGCGACCUCGCGAGAGCAAGCGGACCUCAUAAAGUGCGUCGUAGUCCGGAUUGGAGUCUGCAACUCGACUCCAUGAAGUCGGAAUCGCUAGUAAUCGUGGAUCAGAAUGCCACGGUGAAUACGUUCCCGGGCCUUGUACACACCGCCCGUCACACCAUGGGAGUGGGUUGCAAAAGAAGUAGGUAGCUUAACCUUCGGGAGGGCGCUUACCACUUUGUGAUUCAUGACUGGGGUGAAGUCGUAACAAGGUAACCGUAGGGGAACCUGCGGUUGGAUCACCUCCUUACCUUAAAGAAGC
Molecule: ribosomal RNA, 1420 nt
Filed under: Escherichia coli
Lineage: Bacteria; Pseudomonadati; Pseudomonadota; Gammaproteobacteria; Enterobacterales; Enterobacteriaceae
Description: bacterial SSU rRNA
Rfam family: Bacterial small subunit ribosomal RNA
Source: RNAcentral